UCAAGGAAUGUGAUUUUCCGGAGUAAAAAGUAAAAACACACAAUCAAGAGUAAUUAUUUAUUUAUUUUUAUUCCUUUUCUCCUUUCAAAAUCUCUCUCUAUUAAUUCACUUACUCAUAUGUCUACACAUCUAAACCCUAAAAACUAACCAAAGAGAAAUGUGUUUCCACUUGCACAAAAUCCAAUUCCACACGUUUGUUUCCAAACCAAAUUUUACAAAGACGACUCUGAACCAGGGCUGUGAUAUUUCUAACUGAACUUUAAAAGAGAAAAAUCAGACACAUUUUUUUUUUAUCAAAGACAGGAGACUCGAACCCUCGACCUUUUAAUUGAGUACGGAGAGACUAUGCCAUUUGAGCUAUUACUCAUUGGCAAAUCAGAUGCAUUUCAUUUGAAUAAAAAGGAGGUAUGGUUUAAAAGGUGAAAUGAAUGAUUUGUGGUGCACAAAAACUUGUAAACGGAGAACUAAACGCGGCGAUCCUCAACGAACAAAACCAAUUCAAGAUUCGAAAAAAAUUAAAAAAGAAAAAGAAAAAAUGAGGCGAAUUUUAAUGAGAGAAGCAAAAGGAGAUAAUCUGGAAUUGGAAGCGGAAGCAGAGAAAUAACAAAAUCAGAUUACGAGAAGCAGCAGAAGGUUACAGGGGGUACCUUUGGCAAUACGGAGGAAUAGUGGGUAGAGAAAGAGAGGCCUCUGCUGCUCAAGCUCAA
Molecule: long non-coding RNA, 707 nt
Filed under: Arachis ipaensis
Lineage: Eukaryota; Viridiplantae; Streptophyta; Magnoliopsida; Fabales; Fabaceae
Description: long non-coding RNA (AIPA_LNC001250)
Source: RNAcentral